CACAUCAGAGUGUUGAGAAAUGGGAAAGGUUGCAAAAUAUCAAAUAAGUAAAUAAAUAAAGGUUUCUGACAACUCCAAAACUGAACAUAAUAUGAGGGCUAAAAAAAAACACCAUCACGCUGCUUAUCCUUAAAGCAUUUUAAAAUCUCAAAGGGUACAUUUUUGAUUAAAGAUAACUGAGCCCUACUACUCGUAAUGGAAGAAAAAUAAAUUUGACCAGUACUAUUAUGUUUAAGGCUAAAGUGCUCCUUGUCAUUUACGGUAAGUGGGUCUCCAGCACAGGGCCAAAUCAAUAUGAUCCUUGCUCAGCCAGUCAAAAGCAUUUUUUUAAGUUUUACCGUGCAAACCCUUUACGGAAAACAGCAAUACUGGCACACCUUUAUCUGGCGUCCAUGACCUUUACAAACAUCUCUAACGUGAUCUGCAUGGUUAUUUAUUGACCAGAUGUCCUUUAUAUUGGUCUUUGCAUGAAUUUUUCACAUAGCUGAUGAAUUGGCAGCCAAAAUGACAACAACAGUUCAACUCCUUUACUUAUUUCUGGCAUUCUAUCCUCUAUCUGAGGGGAUUCGCCUCAAUUGUCCUUUUCCAUUUCUGAAUCAGAAUGCACACCUGGGUUCAGGGAAACCUUGUGCAACGAUGCAAUUGCAGACCAAGUUGCCUUGUCCCAGUGUGAACCUGUCUGUAAGUGAAAAUGUGCGACUGAAUCCUGCAAAAUGGCAUCUGGAGAGUCUGUCACUGAAGGUGGAAAAAACCUGCAGUAUCAUGGUGUUUCAACAAGACAAAGAAAGCCAACAUUUUCCUGGAGGAUUCUAUUCAAACAUUGAUAUAAAUUCAAUCAAUACUCAGAAAGAAUUUUUGUGUAUUUGUCCAAAAUUGCACAAUAGAUACAAACGUGCUCCCAGAGCUCGUGAUUUUAAUAAAAAACAUCUAGUGGAUAGUCCUAAAUCUCCAUGUGACACAGAGUAUUGGAAGGAGAAGUGGGAUGAUUCAAUGAAUUACAGAAAAAAAUGUGUGAACAAGAAUACAAAGUUUCACGAACCAGAGACACAGUCCUUCAUGGCAAGACAAGAUUUCAAUGAUAUCAGUAAAAUAUUCACACGUGACCCUGAAUAUGAAAUUAAAGCUCAUAAUAACAUUUUAUACAGAAGCAAGAACAAAAUGUAUAUUUAUGAUGUCAAAUUAGAAAAUGGAGUUCCAAAAGUUUGUCAAAGAUGUGAUUAUGUUGUGGCUGCCCUUGACAACAAUGGCAACCCAGUUCAUUAUGAAGCAGUUACAAAAUAUAUUGCUAAACAGUUUCCACAGGAAAAUUUGGAAACUGAAAGAACACUCAAAAAAAUUGAUGCACCUCAAGGAUUAAAAUCAGCAUCCAUGACCACGAUCAAAGAACUGUCAGACAUGCCUGAGAUUGAAGAAUGCAUGACUGAGGUCAAAGAUGAUCUGGCUGAAGUCAAAGAUGAUGCAACUAAGUUUCAAAGUGGUGCAGGCAGAGGUGUUGUGGCUGGAGGUGUUGUGGUUGGAGGUGGUGUCGCCGGAGGUGUCAUGACUGCAGCCGGAGGUGGCGCGACUGCAGCCGGAGGUGGUGUGGCCGGAGGUGGCACAGCUGCAGCCGGAGGUGGUGUCGCCAGAGGUGUCAUGACUGCAGCCGGAGGUGGUGUCGCCGGAGGUGUCAUGACUGCAGCCGGAGGUGACACAGCUGCAGCCGGAGGUGUUGUCGCCGGAGGUGUCAUGACUGCAGCCGGAGGUGGCACAGCUGCACCCACUACUCCAAUUGGAGAAGAGACAACCAUGACCACAACCACGCCUGCGGUUGGAGAAGAGACAACCGUGACCACAACCACGCCAGCGCUUGGAGAAGAGACAACCGUGACCACAACCGCGCCUGCGGUUGGAGAAGAGACCACCGUGACUGCUGUCAGAGAAGAGACAAUCGUGACCACAACCACGACUGCUGUCGAAGACGAGACACCCAUGACUGGUAUCAAAAGUUCUAAAGGAGCAUUGAUCUUCAUAGAAUUUUUUUUAUACCCUUUACACAGAAUUUUUUCUUACCCCUUUUUCUAGUCCAAUAACUCAAAUAUAUAUAUAUAUANAUAUAUAUAUAUAUAUAUAUAUAUAUAUAUAUAUAUAUAUAUAUAGGAAUCAUGAACUGCCUCUGUUUAUUAUUUUGUACUGUUCUCUGAGGUCCACUUAUGAUGCUAUCAAGAUUUUAACAUAAAAAACAUCAUAAUUUAGAAGCAAUAAGCUAUUUUCUUUCCUGUUUUUAACCCCCCCUCAUCAGAACACUCUGUUUGAAUAGGUAUGGAGGAUUUGUAGACUUGGAAGUAUACGCCCACUGCUAUGAUUGGCUAAUAGUUGUGUAUUUUUGACAGAUGUUUGACACUAUAUCCACAAACCUGUGGGCCGGGCUAAACAUACAGCGAUGUAGAAGCAGGUGUUGAUCUUCUUCUAUGGAGGCAGUGUUUACCCACACUAUAACGUAAUAGAGUUGUACAUUCCACAAGCGGUCAUUUUGGCAGACUGCCUUCAAUAUAAGCUGUUUUUAAACUAACAGGAAAGUUUUGAGUUCAGAAACUUACAGGAUGUUUUUACAGUACAAUGACCUCUUAUAUGUCAAAAGAUCAAUGGAAUUCUGGUUUCUCAGCUCAUGACCCCUUUAAUACCUGAGAUAUAUUGUAUUAACCUCAAUAUAUCCCAAUUAGGGAAAAAAAAGUUUAUAAACAAAUAGCAACACAAUUAACAGUAACUAACAAUUUGGUCAAACACAUAAAAGUUGUUUCUCUAGCAUUGUUAAUAAUAAAUGCAUUUAGAUUAUACCUGUGAAUUGUACC
This is a long non-coding RNA of Cyprinus carpio (common carp), 2828 nucleotides long. NCBI's taxonomy places the organism in Eukaryota, Metazoa, Chordata, Actinopteri, Cypriniformes, Cyprinidae. The record is from Ensembl.